UUGCGUUAAUUGGCCCGAACGGCUGCGGUAAAACCACGCUACUGAAACUGAUGCUGGGACAGCUUCAGGCUGACAGCGGGCGCAUCCACGUAGGAACGAAGCUGGAAGUCGCCUACUUCGAUCAGCACCGACACAGGUGGUCAGGUAGAGAAUACCAAGGCGCUUGAGAGAACUCGGGUGAAGGAACUAGGCAAAAUGGUGCCGUAACUUCGGGAGAAGGCACGCUGACAUGUAGGUGAAGUGAUUUACUCAU
This 253-nucleotide ribosomal RNA is filed under the name Salmonella enterica subsp. enterica serovar Anatum. RNAcentral's name for it is "partial 23S ribosomal RNA". It matches the Rfam family "Bacterial large subunit ribosomal RNA", at positions 1498 to 1773 of the family's 2925-position model. The record is from RNAcentral. Lineage: Bacteria; Pseudomonadati; Pseudomonadota; Gammaproteobacteria; Enterobacterales; Enterobacteriaceae.